GACGAACGCUGGCGGCGUGCUUAUCACAUGCAAGUCGAGCGAUGAAAUCCCUUCGGGGAUGGAUUAGCGGCGGACGGGUGAGUAACACGUGGGUAACCUGCCUCAAAGAGGGGGAUAGCCUCCCGAAAGGGAGAUUAAUACCGCAUAAUAUUCGUUUUUCGCAUGAAGAACUAAUUAAAGGAGUAAUCCGCUUUGAGAUGGACCCGCGGCGCAUUAGCUAGUUGGUGAGGUAACGGCUCACCAAGGCGACGAUGCGUAGCCGAACUGAGAGGGUGAUCGGCCACAUUGGAACUGAGACACGGUCCAGACUCCUACGGGAGGCAGCAGUGGGGAAUAUUGCACAAUGGGCGAAAGCCUGAUGCAGCAACGCCGCGUGAGUGAUGAAGGCCUUCGGGUUGUAAAGCUCUGUCUUUGGGGACGAUAAUGACGGUACCCAAGGAGGAAGCCUCGGCUAACUACGUGCCAGCCGCCGCAGUAA
This 478-nucleotide ribosomal RNA is filed under the name uncultured bacterium. Its description in RNAcentral is "partial 16S ribosomal RNA". It matches the Rfam family "Bacterial small subunit ribosomal RNA", at positions 28 to 523 of the family's 1533-position model. The record is from RNAcentral.